Molecule: ribosomal RNA, 385 nt
Filed under: uncultured bacterium
Lineage: Bacteria
Description: bacterial SSU rRNA
Rfam family: Bacterial small subunit ribosomal RNA
Source: RNAcentral
AUUGAACGCUGGCGGCAUGCUUUACACAUGCAAGUCGAACGGUAACAGGCCUUCGGGCGCUGACGAGUGGCGAACGGGUGAGUAAUGCAUCGGAACGUGCCCAGAGGUGGGGGAUAACGCAGCGAAAGCUGUGCUAAUACCGCAUACGAUCUAUGGAUGAAAGCGGGGGACCUAAGGCCUCGCGCGAAUUGGAGCGGCCGAUGUCAGAUUAGCUAGUUGGUGGGGUAAAGGCCCACCAAGGCGACGAUCUGUAGCUGGUCUGAGAGGACGACCAGCCACACUGGAACUGAGACACGGUCCAGACUCCUACGGAGGCAGCAGUGGGGAAUUUUGGACAAUGGACGAAAGUCUGAUCCAGCCAUGCCGCGUGCGGGAAGAAGGCCUU